UCCGGUUUGGCACCGGCAGUCCCCCCAGAGUCCCCGCCAUGACGCGCUGGCAACUGGGAGCGAGGGUUGCGCUCGUUGCGGGACUUAACCCAACAUCUCACGACACGAGCUGACGACAGCCAUGCAGCACCUGUGUUACGGUUCCCUUUCGGGCACUCUCCCAUCUCUGGGAGAUUCCGUACAUGUCAAGGGUAGGUAAGGUUUUUCGCGUUGCAUCGAAUUAAUCCACAUAAUCCACCGCUUGUGCGGGUCCCCGUCAAUUCCUUUGAGUUUUAACCUUGCGGCCGUAUUCCCCAGGCGGAGCACUUAAUGCGUUAGCGUCGGCACCGCAGGGGUCAAUCCGACCAACACCUAGUUCACAACGUUUAGGGCGUGGACUAC
This 381-nucleotide unclassified non-coding RNA is filed under the name uncultured bacterium. RNAcentral's name for it is "contains 16S-23S intergenic spacer region". The record is from RNAcentral.